Schistosoma mansoni is the source of this 77-nucleotide microRNA precursor. It matches the Rfam family "mir-3492 microRNA precursor family". Lineage: Eukaryota; Metazoa; Platyhelminthes; Trematoda; Strigeidida; Schistosomatidae. The record is from Rfam.
AGCUUUUUAAAUCCGUGCAGAGAUUUCGUCAGACACAACCCAUUAGGACUGAUCAGACUUCCAAGAUAAGUAAAGUU